CUUCACUUCAGCCUCUGAUUGGUUGUCUCCCACAACCAUUAUGACGUGGUGGGCCACUCCUUCCUUUAUGUAGGGUGUAAUCAAAUACCCAGUGGGAAACCUCUAAAGGAUAUUUAAGCCCCAGAAAAUUCUGUAACUAGCUCUCUUGAGCCACUUGCACAAUCCCACUCCUAGUCUGUGGAGUGUACUUUUGUUUCAAUAAUUCUAUGCUUUUAUUACUUCAUUCCUUCAUUUUUUUUGUGCAUUUUGUUCAAUUCUUUGUUCAAAACACCAAGAACCUGGACAACUCGUAGUCAAGAACCUCCACUGGUAACAUUACUAUAUGCUUGGCCCUGUUCUAAGGACUGGAGUGUGUAUGGUUAUUCACAGAAGCAGAAACAGGCUCAGAGACGUGAAAAAAUUUUCUCGCAUUUUCAGAGCUGGAAAGAAGUGGAACCUGGAUUUAAACACAGGCAACUCUAGAGCCUCAAGUUCCACUAUGAUCCUUAUUAGAACAUUAAAACGUCCAACACAAAGAAAUGAUACAUGUUUGAGAUGUUUGCCCAGAGCCCUGUGAGACUCUGGGGACACAAAGACAAAUGGCGUCUCUAGCACGAAGCAUGCUGGAGCUGGGAAGUUGGUGAGGAAGCAAAUCAUUUCAGUGCAGCCCAGGGACACUAUAGUGAACUAUGAGGGCACCCAGAGGACAGAGCCAACUCUCUGGAGGAACUUGGGUGCUAGCCAAGGUUGAGCUUCCGGCAUUGACCCUAUGUCAACAAAGUUGAAAAAUAUGGAA
RNAcentral lists this long non-coding RNA (775 nucleotides) under Homo sapiens (human). RNAcentral's name for it is "HSALNT0364338". The record is from RNAcentral. Lineage: Eukaryota; Metazoa; Chordata; Mammalia; Primates; Hominidae.